UCCUCCGCCCCCUGUCAGAUAUGGAGGGGUUGGGGAAAGGAUGCCGUGUCCCUGAGUCUGCCCCUGACUGGCCAGCUGACGCCCAUUGAUAUCUCCAUGGCCGUGGUGAGGCAGGAGAGGACUCAAGGAUGGAGAGCUUAGGAUACCACACGGAGUGGUGUGAAGAAGCCUUGGGGAUGCCUGAAGGAGGGGCAGUGAAGGACGGAGGCCUGGAGGUGAAGGAAAUGCUGUAAAUUCCUCUAAUAUUGAGCACUUGUCUGGUCAGACCAUCCUUCACUGAAUAUUUGGACCGAGGCUUCGAGAUACGAGGUGAUCCCCCAGAACAGCGCAAUCCUGCCUACUUGUGAUGUGGCAGCCCUGAUCGUCCCCCUCCUUCUCUGCUCCUCCUCCUCAUCCUCCUCCUCCUCCAGCAAAGAAUAGAUGUUUAAUCAGCUGGUGGAAAGGGUCCUCGUCUUCAGCCGUUGUAAUAAUGGUGGGUGCUGUGGAAGUUAUCAAGGAGGUUACUGCCACGGCCACCUUUGCUACUCCCUGCCCACGGGAACGCCCUGGCUGCCGCGCACAUAAAUUACUGGCAAAGGCGGUGGUUAUGGUGGGGGUCCUGGUAUCCCCCCUCUCCCGCACUCCUUCGCUUCCCCCCUUGGACACUCCGGAACGAUGGAGAGCUUAGGAUACCACACGGAUGGGGGUGAAGGAGCCUUGGGGAUGCCUGAAGGAGGGAUAGUGAAGGAGGGAGGCCUGGAGGUGAAGGAAAUGCAGAAAAUUCCUCUAAUACUGAACGCUUCUCUGCUCAGACCAUCCUUCACUGAAUAUUUAUACUGAGGCUUCGAGAUUCGAGGUGAACUCCCAGAACAGGGCCAUCCUGCCUGUUUGUGGUGUGCCAUCCCUGAUCGUCCCCCUCCCUUCCUCCUCUUCUUCCUCCUCGUCCUCCUCCUCCUCCUCCUCCUCCUACAGCAAAGAAGAGACGUUUAAUCAAUCUGGUGGAAAGGUUAGUGUUGUUGUU
This is a long non-coding RNA of Scylla paramamosain (green mud crab), 1000 nucleotides long. RefSeq lists it as uncharacterized. The record is from RefSeq and is a predicted model, not a curated record. Lineage: Eukaryota; Metazoa; Arthropoda; Malacostraca; Decapoda; Portunidae. The transcript has 7 exons.